This 1407-nucleotide ribosomal RNA is filed under the name Albericus exclamitans. RNAcentral's name for it is "partial 16S ribosomal RNA". It matches the Rfam family "Bacterial large subunit ribosomal RNA", at positions 158 to 2597 of the family's 2925-position model. Lineage: Eukaryota; Metazoa; Chordata; Amphibia; Anura; Microhylidae. The record is from RNAcentral.
GCUAACAACCUAGCCCCUCCCCACCCUCAAAUGAAAUAUCCACCUUUCUCCCGUAUAAUAAAACAUUUUUAUUGCCAAGUAAAGGCGAUUGAAAAGCACCUAAGAGCCUUAGCAUUAGUACCGCAAGGGAAAAGUGAAAUAGAAAUGAAAUAAAUUUAAAGCCCAAUAAAGUAAAGACUUAUCCUUGUACCUUUUGCAUCAUGGUCUAACUAGUCCCCCUAAGCAAAAUGAACUUUAAGUUUAACACCCCGAAACUAGACGAGCUACUUCAAAACAGCCUUAUGGGCCAACCCAUCUCUGUUGCAAAAGAGUGGGAAGAUUUUCAAGUAGAGGUGAUAUACCUAUCGUGUCUAGAGAUAGCUGGUUAUUCAGGAAAAGGAUAUUAGUCCAAUUUUAAACCUCCCACAUAACAUUAAAUACUACCAUAGGUUUAAUAUUUAUUCAAAUAAGGUACAGCCUAUUUGAAAUAGGGCACAGCCUAAAAUAUAGGGUAAUGUUUUUAUAUGUGACUAAGUAGGCCUAAGAGCAGCCACCUUCUCAAAAGCGUUACAGCUUCACCACAUAACAUUUUAAUCCCAACUAAAACCCAAAACCCCUCACCCCUACUGAAUGACUCUAUACUUAUAUAGAAAACCCUAUGUUAGAACUAGUAAUAAGAAAUUAUUUUCUCUAAACGCAAGUGUAAGCCGGAAUGAAAAUUUCACCGGCACUUACCGCUAAUGAAUCCACAGUAAUAACAAUACAAGAAAAUCCUACUUAAUCUCGCGUUAACCUUACACUAGACUUUUACCAGAAAGAUUAAAAAAGUAGGAAGGAACUCGGCAAAUAGUAACCCCGCCUGUUUACCAAAAACAUCGCCUUCUGUAACUAAUAGGAGGUCCAGCCUGCCCAGUGACAAACUUAAACGGCCGCGGUAUUUUAACCGUGCAAAGGUAGCGCAAUCACUUGUUCUUUAAAUAAGGACUAGUAUGAACGGCAUCACGAGAGUUACACUGUCUCCCUACUUUAAUCAAUGAAACUAAUCUCCUCGUGAAAAAGCGAGGAUACCCCCAUAAGACGAGAAGACCCCAUGGAGCUUUAAACUAACAUCACUUACAUUACUCUACAACAUCUAAAUUUAGUAAACCUAUCUUGCUAGUUUUUGGUUGGGGCGACCGCGGAGUAGAACUCAACCUCCACGACGAAAGGGUUAACCCCCUAAUCAAAGAGCCACCCCUCAAAGAAUCAAAACAUUGACCUAACUGACCCAAUAUUAUUGAGCAACGAACCAAGUUACCCUGGGGAUAACAGCGCAAUCCAUUUAAAGAGCCCCUAUCGACAAAUGGGUUUACGACCUCGAUGUUGGAUCGGGGUAUCCCAGUGGUGCAGCCACUACUAAAGGUUCGUUUGUUCAACGAUUAAAACCCC